Molecule: non-coding RNA, 111 nt
Organism: Ceraceosorus bombacis
Lineage: Eukaryota; Fungi; Basidiomycota; Exobasidiomycetes; Ceraceosorales; Ceraceosoraceae
Source: Rfam
GCAGAGAUAUCCAAGUGGUUAAAGGAAUCUGAUUCAAGUUUACCCGCUUUCACGUGUAUUCGUGAAUCCUCAGACGCGUUAGCUUCAAGGGUUCGACUCCCUUUCUCUGCA